Molecule: ribosomal RNA, 211 nt
Filed under: uncultured Anaerolineaceae bacterium
Lineage: Bacteria; Bacillati; Chloroflexota; Anaerolineae; Anaerolineales; Anaerolineaceae
Description: partial 16S ribosomal RNA
Rfam family: Bacterial small subunit ribosomal RNA
Source: RNAcentral
AGUGGGAUGACGUCAAGUCCUCAUGGCCCUUAUGGUAGGGCUACACACACGCUACAAUGGUCAGUACAAUAGGUUGCCAAGCCGCGAGGCGGAGCCAAUCCUAAAAAGCUGGCCUCAGUUCAGAUUGCAGUCUGCAACUCGACUGCAUGAAGUUGGAGUUGCUAGUAACCGCAGGUCAGCUAUACUGCGGUGAAUACGUUCCCGGGGACUU